Molecule: unclassified non-coding RNA, 362 nt
Filed under: Hevea brasiliensis (rubber tree)
Lineage: Eukaryota; Viridiplantae; Streptophyta; Magnoliopsida; Malpighiales; Euphorbiaceae
Source: RNAcentral
AAUGAUCAAAACACCAAGCAUAAUAGUAAAACUAAUAAAGACUGCAAGUACUUUCUCCAUCUCAAAGUACUCCACAACUAGAAAAGCAGAAAAAUGUAUCCACCUGUUCUAAUUUUGAAGAUUUAUAAAACAGUUGAUUUGAAAAGAGCAGAGUUAAAAGCAUAGUAACAAAAUAGUACAGCCAAUUGUUUGGAAAUUUCUAGUCCCGAAGUAUAAGGCGUACAUUUUUUGCAUGAAAAAGAUUUCUUCUACACACCAAUCUAGAAGGUACACAUAUACUUGCAUAAAAUUCUUCUAGAUGCUUCCCACAAUACUGACCCUUCCAUCUUGCAAAGUUUGCUCUUCCUGAUCUUGAACUUAUU